This 442-nucleotide ribosomal RNA is filed under the name uncultured bacterium. RNAcentral describes it as "partial 16S ribosomal RNA". It matches the Rfam family "Bacterial small subunit ribosomal RNA", at positions 338 to 795 of the family's 1533-position model. The record is from RNAcentral.
CCUACGGGCGGCAGCAGUAGGGAAUCUUUCACAAUGGGCGAAAGCCUGAUGGAGCAACGCCGCGUGCAGGAUGAAGGCCUUCGGGUUGUAAACUGCUUUUAUAAGCGAGAAAUAUGAUGGUAACUUAUGAAUAAGGAUCGGCUAACUACGUGCCAGCAGCCGCGGUCAUACGUAGGAUCCGAGCAUUAUCCGGAGUGACUGGGUGUAAAGAGUUGCGUAGGUGGCAUAAUAAGUAGCUAGUGAAAUCUGGUGGGUCAACCAUUCAGACUAUUAGCGAAACUGUUAAGCUCGAGACCGGUAGGGGUAACUGGAAUUUCUAGUGUAGGAGUGAAAUCCGUAGAUAUUAGAAGGAACACCAAUAGCGUAGGCAGGUUACUGGGACGGUUCUGACACUAAGGCACGAAAGCGUAGGGAGCAAACGGGAUUAGAUACCCGGGUAGUC